Molecule: transfer RNA, 85 nt
Filed under: Candidatus Methanoflexus mossambicus
Lineage: Archaea; Methanobacteriati; Methanobacteriota; Methanobacteria; Methanobacteriales; Methanobacteriaceae
Description: tRNA-Ser
Rfam family: tRNA
About the family: Transfer RNA (tRNA) molecules are approximately 80 nucleotides in length. Their secondary structure includes four short double-helical elements and three loops (D, anti-codon, and T loops).
Source: RNAcentral
GCCGGGAUAGUCUAGCCUGGUAAGGCGCGAGACUGGAAAUCUCGUGGGGAUUUGCCCCGCCUGGGUUCAAAUCCCAGUUCCGGCG